This 253-nucleotide ribosomal RNA is filed under the name uncultured bacterium. RNAcentral's name for it is "partial 16S ribosomal RNA". It matches the Rfam family "Bacterial small subunit ribosomal RNA", at positions 524 to 776 of the family's 1533-position model. The record is from RNAcentral.
UACAGAGGUCUCAAGCGUUGUCCGGAUUUACUGGGCGUAAAGAGCGCGCAGGCGGUCGUUCAAGUCGCGUGUGAAAGCCCCCGGCUCAACUGGGGAGGGUCACGCGAUACUGAUCGACUCGAAGGCAGGAGAGGGAAGUGGAAUUCCCGGUGUAGUGGUGAAAUGCGUAGAUAUCGGGAGGAACACCAGUGGCGAAGGCGACUUCCUGGCCUGUUCUUGACGCUGAGGCGCGAAAGCUAGGGGAGCAAACGGG